Molecule: ribosomal RNA, 467 nt
Filed under: uncultured bacterium
Lineage: Bacteria
Description: partial 16S ribosomal RNA
Rfam family: Bacterial small subunit ribosomal RNA
Source: RNAcentral
GACGAACGCUGGCGGCGUGCUUAACACAUGCAAGUCGAACGGAAAGGCCCUGCUUUUGUGGGGUGCUCGAGUGGCGAACGGGUGAGUAACACGUGAGUAACCUGCCCUUGACUUUGGGAUAACUUCAGGAAACUGGGGCUAAUACCGGAUAGGAGCUCCUGCUGCAUGGUGGGGGUUGGAAAGUUUCGGCGGUUGGGGAUGGACUCGCGGCUUAUCAGCUUGUUGGUGGGGUAGUGGCUUACCAAGGCUUUGACGGGUAGCCGGCCUGAGAGGGUGACCGGCCACAUUGGGACUGAGAUACGGCCCAGACUCCUACGGGAGGCAGCAGUGGGGAAUAUUGCACAUUGGGCGGAAGCCUGAUGCAGCAACGCCGCGUGCGGGAUGACGGCCUUCGGGUUGUAAACCGCUUUCGCCUGUGACGAAGCGUGAGUGACGGGAAUGGGUAAAGAAGCACCGGCUAACUACGU